GGGUUGUGAGGUUAAGCGACUAAGCGUACACGGUGGAUGCCCUGGCAGUCAGAGGCGAUGAAGGACGUGCUAAUCUGCGAUAAGCGUCGGUAAGGUGAUAUGAACCGUUAUAACCGGCGAUUUCCGAAUGGGGAAACCCAGUGUGAUUCGUCACACUAUCAUUAACUGAAUCCAUAGGUUAAUGAGGCGAACCGGGGGAACUGAAACAUCUAAGUACCCCGAGGAAAAGAAAUCAACCGAGAUUCCCCCAGUAGCGGCGAGCGAACGGGGAGCAGCCCAGAGCCUGAAUCAGUGUGUGUGUUAGUGGAAGCGUCUGGAAAGGCGCGCGAUACAGGGUGACAGCCCCGUACACAAAAAUGCACAUACUGUGAGCUCGAUGAGUAGGGCGGGACACGUGGUAUCCUGUCUGAAUAUGGGGGGACCAUCCUCCAAGGCUAAAUACUCCUGACUGACCGAUAGUGAACCAGUACCGUGAGGGAAAGGCGAAAAGAACCCCGGCGAGGGGAGUGAAAAAGAACCUGAAACCGUGUACGUACAAGCAGUGGGAGCACGCUUAGGCGUGUGACUGCGUACCUUUUGUAUAAUGGGUCAGCGACUUAUAUUCUGUAGCAAGGUUAACCGAAUAGGGGAGCCGAAGGGAAACCGAGUCUUAACUGGGCGUUAAGUUGCAGGGUAUAGACCCGAAACCCGGUGAUCUAGCCAUGGGCAGGUUGAAGGUUGGGUAACACUAACUGGAGGACCGAACCGACUAAUGUUGAAAAAUUAGCGGAUGACUUGUGGCUGGGGGUGAAAGGCCAAUCAAACCGGGAGAUAGCUGGUUCUCCCCGAAAGCUAUUUAGGUAGCGCCUCGUGAAUUCAUCUCCGGGGGUAGAGCACUGUUUCGGCAAGGGGGUCAUCCCGACUUACCAACCCGAUGCAAACUGCGAAUACCGGAGAAUGUUAUCACGGGAGACACACGGCGGGUGCUAACGUCCGUCGUGAAGAGGGAAACAACCCAGACCGCCAGCUAAGGUCCCAAAGUCAUGGUUAAGUGGGAAACGAUGUGGGAAGGCCCAGACAGCCAGGAUGUUGGCUUAGAAGCAGCCAUCAUUUAAAGAAAGCGUAAUAGCUCACUGGUCGAGUCGGCCUGCGCGGAAGAUGUAACGGGGCUAAACCAUGCACCGAAGCUGCGGCAGCGACGCUUAUGCGUUGUUGGGUAGGGGAGCGUUCUGUAAGCCUGUGAAGGUGUACUGUGAGGUAUGCUGGAGGUAUCAGAAGUGCGAAUGCUGACAUAAGUAACGAUAAAGCGGGUGAAAAGCCCGCUCGCCGGAAGACCAAGGGUUCCUGUCCAACGUUAAUCGGGGCAGGGUGAGUCGACCCCUAAGGCGAGGCCGAAAGGCGUAGUCGAUGGGAAACAGGUUAAUAUUCCUGUACUUGGUGUUACUGCGAAGGGGGGACGGAGAAGGCUAUGUUGGCCGGGCGACGGUUGUCCCGGUUUAAGCGUGUAGGCUGGUUUUCCAGGCAAAUCCGGAAAAUCAAGGCUGAGGCGUGAUGACGAGGCACUACGGUGCUGAAGCAACAAAUGCCCUGCUUCCAGGAAAAGCCUCUAAGCAUCAGGUAACAUCAAAUCGUACCCCAAACCGACACAGGUGGUCAGGUAGAGAAUACCAAGGCGCUUGAGAGAACUCGGGUGAAGGAACUAGGCAAAAUGGUGCCGUAACUUCGGGAGAAGGCACGCUGAUAUGUAGGUGAAGUCCCUCGCGGAUGGAGCUGAAAUCAGUCGAAGAUACCAGCUGGCUGCAACUGUUUAUUAAAAACACAGCACUGUGCAAACACGAAAGUGGACGUAUACGGUGUGACGCCUGCCCGGUGCCGGAAGGUUAAUUGAUGGGGUCAGCGCAAGCGAAGCUCUUGAUCGAAGCCCCGGUAAACGGCGGCCGUAACUAUAACGGUCCUAAGGUAGCGAAAUUCCUUGUCGGGUAAGUUCCGACCUGCACGAAUGGCGUAAUGAUGGCCAGGCUGUCUCCACCCGAGACUCAGUGAAAUUGAACUCGCUGUGAAGAUGCAGUGUACCCGCGGCAAGACGGAAAGACCCCGUGAACCUUUACUAUAGCUUGACACUGAACAUUGAGCCUUGAUGUGUAGGAUAGGUGGGAGGCUUUGAAGUGUGGACGCCAGUCUGCAUGGAGCCGACCUUGAAAUACCACCCUUUAAUGUUUGAUGUUCUAACGUGGACCCGUAAUCCGGGUUGCGGACAGUGUCUGGUGGGUAGUUUGACUGGGGCGGUCUCCUCCUAAAGAGUAACGGAGGAGCACGAAGGUUGGCUAAUCCUGGUCGGACAUCAGGAGGUUAGUGCAAUGGCAUAAGCCAGCUUGACUGCGAGCGUGACGGCGCGAGCAGGUGCGAAAGCAGGUCAUAGUGAUCCGGUGGUUCUGAAUGGAAGGGCCAUCGCUCAACGGAUAAAAGGUACUCCGGGGAUAACAGGCUGAUACCGCCCAAGAGUUCAUAUCGACGGCGGUGUUUGGCACCUCGAUGUCGGCUCAUCACAUCCUGGGGCUGAAGUAGGUCCCAAGGGUAUGGCUGUUCGCCAUUUAAAGUGGUACGCGAGCUGGGUUUAGAACGUCGUGAGACAGUUCGGUCCCUAUCUGCCGUGGGCGCUGGAGAACUGAGGGGGGCUGCUCCUAGUACGAGAGGACCGGAGUGGACGCAUCACUGGUGUUCGGGUUGUCAUGCCAAUGGCACUGCCCGGUAGCUAAAUGCGGAAGAGAUAAGUGCUGAAAGCAUCUAAGCACGAAACUUGCCCCGAGAUGAGUUCUCCCUGACUCCUUGAGAGUCCUGAAGGAACGUUGAAGACGACGACGUUGAUAGGCCGGGUGUGUAAGCGCAGCGAUGCGUUGAGCUAACCGGUACUAAUGAACCGUGAGGCUUAACCUUACAACGCCGAAGCUGUU
RNAcentral lists this ribosomal RNA (2930 nucleotides) under Escherichia coli. Its description in RNAcentral is "bacterial LSU rRNA". It matches the Rfam family "Bacterial large subunit ribosomal RNA". The record is from RNAcentral. Lineage: Bacteria; Pseudomonadati; Pseudomonadota; Gammaproteobacteria; Enterobacterales; Enterobacteriaceae.